Molecule: ribosomal RNA, 445 nt
Filed under: uncultured bacterium
Lineage: Bacteria
Description: partial 16S ribosomal RNA
Rfam family: Bacterial small subunit ribosomal RNA
Source: RNAcentral
GUGAGGAAUAUUGCGCAAUGGAGGCAACUCUGACGCAGCCAUGCCGCGUGCAGGAAGAAGGCGCCACGCGUUGUAAACUGCUUUUAACCGGGAAGAAACCCCAGGACGUGUCCUGGGUUGACGGUACCGGAGGAAUAAGCACCGGCUAACUUCGUGCCAGCAGCCGCGGUAAUACGAAGGGUGCAAGCGUUAUCCGGAUUCAUUGGGUUUAAAGGGUGCGUAGGCGGAGCGUUAAGUCAGUGGUGAAAUCCUGCAGCUUAACUGUAGACUUGCCAUUGAUACUGGCGCUCUUGAGUGCGCUUGAAGUGGGCGGAAUGUGCCGUGUAGCGGUGAAAUGCUUAGAUAUGGCACAGAACACCAAUUGCGAAGGCAGCUCACUAAGGCGAUACUGACGCUGAGGCACGAAAGCGUGGGGAUCGAACAGGAUUAGAUACCCCUGUAGUCC